UUAGUCCGCACUUAGUCACAUUAAAACACACAGAAAAAUACUAUUUUAGCCUUUCCUUAAUCAAAACAUAUAUUCACACUGAUAAAAAGUCAAAUAUAAAGCACUUUUCUCUCAGAAAAGUACUGUACAAAUUUAUAUUCCACUUUGGUAUUUGCAACAAAACAUGUUACAAAUAAACACAUUUAUUUUUAAUGUUUUUCUAUGUAUUUGAAUUAAUAAAACACUGUAUUCCUUCAAAACGAUACUUACCGUCAAGGUGAGACUUGCCAAGAAGCCCAGUGAAACUAAAAAGACUGAAAACAUCGCAAAAUGUAACCGGGAACCUCACGACUACUUUGCAAGAAGCCAAGAAUCUAUGCCAGCAACUACCAAAAUUUUUGUAAAUGACGUCUUGUUUUCGACCGAGAAGGAAGGAGAGAACUGAGCCGAAUCACGAGUUAGACGCAAUGUUACAUACGUCACUUCCGGAUAGUACGUCACACUCACUGAGCUAUACAGGAACCAGGUAAUAUUAUAGCUCAGUGGUCACACUAUUG
Paramuricea clavata is the source of this 536-nucleotide non-coding RNA. The record is from the annotation of a GenBank genome assembly. Lineage: Eukaryota; Metazoa; Cnidaria; Anthozoa; Malacalcyonacea; Plexauridae.